GGGUGUGAGGGCAAUCUUACUGGGAUAUCUGUCACCCCAUUGAUCAUCAGGGUUGAUUCGGCUCAUCUGGCUGCCUAGGCGGGUGUCCUCUUUCUCCCUCAAUGAUCCAUGUGCGUCCCUCCCAAAGAUUGCACUCGGUCGAAGAGGACGAUCACUCCUGAUAGGGGAGGGCCGUUUCUCUGUCAAAGGUGUACAUGUAGCUGCGCUCCCCUGCUAGAACCUCCAAACAAGCUCUCAGGAAACGUCUGUACUGAAGCUCCAUGAAGUAUCAAAGCGUAACUCUUUCUUAAAAGUGGUCAUAA
RNAcentral lists this small nuclear RNA (302 nucleotides) under Octodon degus (degu). Its description in RNAcentral is "7SK RNA (ENSODEG00000023690.1)". It matches the Rfam family "7SK RNA". From Rfam's summary of the family: 7SK was discovered as an abundant small nuclear RNA in the mid-70s but a possible function has only recently been suggested. Two independent studies have found that 7SK RNA binds the CDK9/cyclin T complex (known as elongation factor P-TEFb). P-TEFb activates transcription by phosphorylating the C-terminal domain of RNA polymerase II. Lineage: Eukaryota; Metazoa; Chordata; Mammalia; Rodentia; Octodontidae. The record is from RNAcentral.